RNAcentral lists this ribosomal RNA (332 nucleotides) under uncultured Glomeraceae. Its description in RNAcentral is "partial large subunit ribosomal RNA". The record is from RNAcentral. Lineage: Eukaryota; Fungi; Glomeromycota; Glomeromycetes; Glomerales; Glomeraceae.
CAGUCAUACCAACGGGAAAUCAACCUUUUGAGCUCGGUCUCGUGGGUUUUGAAGAGUUUCAAAGCCUUCGGAUUCGCGGGAUUGGGAUCUCUCGGUGUACUUUUUCGUACGGUUAGUCAACAUCGGUUUUGAAUGUCAUAAAAUGAUUGGGGGAAUGUAGCUUCGAUCUCGUAUUGAAGUGUCAUAGCCUUUGGUAGAUGUGAUGUUUGAGACCGAGGAUUGCAACGGAUACCCUUCAGGGCUAUUCGUCUGAUCUCUGAUACGUUGCCCUGAUGUUGAAAGCUUGCUUAUGAUGUUAGGGUAUUACGGUCAAAAGGUUAGAACGAAUUACA